UCCAAACACGAAAUAGAAAUAAUGUUUUUAGUAAUGACGGGAACAAAAUAACAAUUUUUUAAUUCUAAUACUAAGCCCGAAGGCAAUGGUAAGAAGUAUGUCCCUACAGCUAAUACAACAACUGUUGCUUCAUUCCCCACAUCCAGGUCAACUUCUCUUUUCUACAGUGGUCUACUUCUCUUUAGUCCCUGCAUCUUUAUACAAAUAUGAGAUCCACAUCCGGUAUCUAUUACCCAAGAAGCUAAUGAAGUAGACAUAUUAACCUCGAUAACAAAAAUACCUGAAGUAGAUGUUGAAAAAUUACUCACCACCGGGGUUGGAGAAGAAACAAUGCAGAAAAUUAAUCAAGAGGAUUAAAAAACGAAUCAAGAUCAUGACGAAAAUGGAAGGCUCAAACACGACGUUACAUCGUUGUUCUCAAACGAUAUUUGCCCCCUCUUGGUAUUAAUGUUGGUGCUUAAAGGAUCUUGCGGCAAACAGUUUGAAGGAUUGAUCAAACCUUGAUGUAGAGAAACACAAAGCACAAGCAUUUCUUCACCCGAACUUGAAGAACAUAUAGGGAAUAUAUGAAUGUGGAGGAAGAAAGGAUUUUUCUUUUUUGUGGAAUGAGGACAAAUUACCAUAUGUUUUGUAAUCUGAUUUUCAUGUGUUUUUUUAUGUCCAACAAAUACAUAUUUAUAGCCAUGAAUCAAAGCUUCACGAAAUGGUGCCAAAAUAAGAUGAAUCAAUUCUGAUUUUGCUAAAGCACAUCUUGCAUAAGCCUGUGCGUACACAUGGGUAAAAAUCAAAGUUUUUAUUUUUCAAUUUCUUUUGAUUCUACCAAUUUCACAAUUGAGUCCAACAAUUAGUCCAUUAUCAUUCCAUUGAUUUUGAACAAAUAUUCAACAAUCCUCCACUUGUUCAAAAUCAAUAAGAUCACAUAUUUAAAAAGACGAUACUUAUGCAUAAGGAUUAGAUAUCUUUCGAUCUGAAUCUAACCAUAGUGUAAUUCAAACAAAGUAAAGUCGGAAUUAGAGGUAGCAUGGAAGUUUUGAACUAAUUAUUCAUUGUGACAAUAUCGGUAAGAACACACACAUAAGUAUCAUAUGUUCUCAAGUUCCUCAACUCGCUUAGCGCUUUUAUGGCCUUGCGCUCAUCCUAUUCGACAAACUUUUAAGAGAUAAACUCCAACUCUCAAUUGAGGCAGCACCACCUCGAAGUUUGUUUAGAUGAAGUUCUUCCAAUAUCUUUAUUACUUUUAGAGGUACUUGUGUUUUAACACUGAACUUCAUUAAGAGUUUUAAUACUCAACCUUCACUUCAGUAACAACCAGCAUUAUUUAAUUAGGAUAACGUUAUCGCGGAUUUAUAUAAUGCUGCAUCUAUCCACAUAUCGAAUGACUUGUUGUUACCCUUUGAACCUAUGGAUUACCUUUUGAGUAAUGACGGGUAGGGUUGCUAUCAUUGGUGGACCUUUGUAGUUUAGGAGUUUCAACCCCAUCCUACUCGAAGUAGAUGCCACUAAAAUUUUAUUUAGUGGUCUAAUUAAAGGAUCCGCUACGUCUUUACAGAAAUUAUUCCAUCUUUGCUAAUUUCCUUUUAAGUCAUGUCUAAGACUUAUAUGUCUUGACUUUUCAUUUCAUGUGACUUAGUAUCUUAUCAAAGUAUAGCUAGCCAACGAUCGAUUCAUUUGAUAGAUACAAUUUGUCACCACCAAGAAGCCACAUGCUUCUCACUCGCUUUAUUUAAAGCCUUAUUGAUUUUUAAAACACUUGUUGGAUGAUUUCCAUUAAUUCAUUACACUAGUCCAUCACGUCUAUUUGAAAAUUUUCAUACUCGGGUAUUCACUUAUCAUCAUUGAAUCAUUACAAUGAUCUUCAAUGAAUAUUCUUUAAAUAUUUCAUUGUUUUUCCAAGCGCCACAAUUGGCUUUUACUCAUUUAGUCCACUUUUGACUUAGAGCGUUUCAUUCUUAUAAGGCCUUCUCUAUCUUUCUCCAUCAUAGAUGUAUUUCUAUGAUUAAAAGGUAAAGGAUACGGUAACUUUUUAAAUUAAGUUACCCCCACAAUUCCUUAAUUAAGAAUUCUUAUGCAAUCUUGUAAUAUUGCAUCCAUAUAACUUUGAACUUCUUAUAUAAGUUCAUAAGAUUAAUAUUAACCCCCACAUUUCGGGUUAUACUCGAACUUAGAGUUCCUUAAUAUGUCAACCCCCACAUUAGGGAUUGUAAUUGAACUUAGAGUUCAUCAACAUAUUUUGUAGUUCAAUUUGCUUAUCACUUCAAUAAUGACCGUGAAAGUCUACAUACUUUCAAAUAGUCAUUAUUAAUUCACAAUGUACUUCAAUCCACUAUUUAAUUUUGAUCACACAAUUUGAUCAAGGUCAUCUCAUAGACCUACCAUGUUUUUCAAGCAUAAACCAACUCAAUUUGGUUCCAUGAUUGAAGUCCAAUUCAACAAUGAAUGAGACUAAUCUCCAAUUGUUGGCAAUUUAUCACUUUCGUGACUUUCACAAGAUAGCAUCAUAUCACCUCAAUGACAUGGUACAUAUUUGCCUUAUUCACUUUUGGGCAAAAUCACACUUUGUCCCUUUUAUAUGCAAACCCAAUUUUGCAUAAGAUUAUCCCACUUAAUUUGUGGCUAUCAACAUUUCAAUAAAACAUGAAAUCAACCAUCAAAUUUAUCAAGUAAUUCUCAUAUUCCAAUAGAAGUAGUCAUGAAGUUAUCAUGUACUUUCAACAAAUAGUAGGCAUCCUUCCACAUUUAUGCACAUCCUUUAGACCCAUUAAAUAUUAAUAUGCUGGUCUCAAAACACAAAUAUGGAUGUGCUUUACUUGCACCUCGAAGUCCAUAAGCCAACAUAAUGGCAAAUGCACUGUGCAGUAAAUGGUGUCCUACAGAAACAUGUGGGCUACCCAAGUGGGUUCGUGUAUUAUCCAAGCAAAUGUUGCAAGCCAUAUAUUGAAAUUAAUUAUCGAAAUAGCAAUCAUGAUCAAGUAGAUCUUUAACCACCACAAUUGGUUUAAAUUGCAUUAUUUAAAAUGUCAUGUAUAAGAGUCAUUCCCAAUUGUCAUAGCAAAGUGAGAAUAAUCAAUUAAUCAAAAUUGAUUUCCACAAUAUCCUUUAUACAAGAAGGCUAUUUAGAGCAUAUUAUAAAUUUUGUCAUACUAAUAUGCAAACACAAUUUGUGCUCUACAAAAUAUUUCCAUAUCUUAGCAAUUUCCACUAGAAGCAAUUCGCGAUUUUUAAUACUUUAUGCAAAUAUAAUUGGCAUAAAGUCAUGUCACUUAAUACCAUACGAUUAAAUGAGGCUAUCAACAUUAAUUCAAGUUAAUAUGAGUUCAACAAGACAUGAAAGCAAUCAAACAAAUUUAUCAUGUUAUUUUCAAUUUCAAGUAGAAGAAAUAGUCAUGAAAGUUCGCAUACUUUCUUUCAUAAAAUUUUAAUACUUUAGAAUUUUCUCAUAUGUAACGUAUGCAAAGAAAUAGUCAUGGAAAUUCACACAUUUUCAACAAAUGCAUUCUUCGAAUAUUUAUGCAUCCAAUUCAUCACGACCAAAAUAAAGAAGUAGCAAUUCACAUUCCAAAUAUAACCAUGUGGUUGAACGCCAUAUGUGCCUUCUUAUAAGAAUAAUAUUCUGAAAUAUUUUCCAAACAAAUGGAACACAAAAUUAAUAAUAAAGCAGCCACUAAAUCUCGUUAGUAACCAAAAUAAUCUAAUUUAAAUAUAUAUAUAUAUAUAUAUAUAUAUUAUUCUGAAAUAGAUGCUAAUUUUUUAAGACACAUGUAUAAGGAAUUAUUAUUAUUAUUAUUAUUUUGAAUAGUCACCAUGUCAAAUGGAUUCCUAUGCCUCCACAACUGGUUAGAGUUGCAUUUAAACGUAAUUCCCAUUUACGAACCAAAACCGCAAGCAUUUUCAAAUAAAUAAUUGAUCGCCAUCAAUUAUAAUAUACAUAACUUUUGUGCACACAAGCACUUAUUAAUGCAUACUGUUGACAUCGAAAAUUGGACCUUCCACGUGAUCAAUCGAUAGUCACUCCACGUAUUUCUCCUUGUACACAAUCAACACACUGUCAGACGCACACAGCUAGAACCAGCGGGGGUGGCGGCGGCCGUAUACACUCCGACGAUCAAAUCAGGUUCGGGUGGUCGAAACAGUACCCAGAGGUUGUGUCAAAAACACUAAGAGGGAGGAGAAAAUAUAUAAACUUGCUAUGGAGUGCUAUGUAGUAAGAGUUUCAUUACCUUUGCCUCUUGUCAAACCUUGGGUAUUUAUAGGUGGGAUGAAUCGUUGGAUAUGGGACACGUGUAUACAUCUGACGGUAUGAGGCAUCCACUCAUAGGCGUCAAUCAGCCGCGUCUAUAGAGUGGGCGGGCAGUUUGUUUCUCCCGGGUUGAGUUGACAUAAAAUUGAUAAGUCACGUCAACUAACCUCAUGGAGACGUCAAAUCAAUUUAAACCUUAGGUGCAAAGAGGAUCUUGGCAAAAAUCUCUUUCUGAAAUUGACGGUGAAUCUUCUGACAGAGGUCCACUUGGCCUCGACCUAAGGGGCGAGGGCGCUUCGGUCAGUUCAGCAGGAUCGCCUACGUCUCGCAGUGUGCUACCAGGUCGUUGACAUUGGUGAGAUCAUUUCAGAAACACUUCGGAGACAUCAGGUCGGAAUGUGUAGUGGUUGGCAUUCCGAAACGGUUCAGAUAGGGGCGUAACACAUACCACUUAAUGGAUAAGGUACAAUUCCAUUCUCUAAUGACUUUCAUUCCCAAAGGAACUGGCAACCAAGUGUUUCAGGUUUGCACCCAAAUAAGCAAUGGCCUCAACCGUUCCCAUAUUGCACUUAAUGCAUCAACCUGUCUUCGACAUGCAAGUAAUCUAUCACAUGUGCACAAGUUUAUUCCAAUCGUGUAGGGAAUUGUAUAAAUAUACAAUUUGCCAAUGAAGUGUAAUAUGGAUAAACAAAAUUUUCAUCAGUCACCGGCCAAACCGUUUUAAAUGGAGACAUGCAUAACGUGCUGACAACAUCAAAAAUGAAAAUUCACAUGCAAUUGUAUCAUAUAUGAAAUGAUGACAUCCAUUAAUUUGCUGACUUUUCCCAGAAUUCAAUGGACAUGAAUACCAAAAAGGGCAUGCAUAAAUCAGCCAUCUUCAUUUUAUUUUGCAGACACUAUUUAAUCCAUUAAUUCACAAACUGCCAACAGCAGUAUCAUUUUCUGCCACCUAUUAAAUUGUACCAAUUCAUAUAAACUUACAUGCAGUUUCUUCCAAAGGCAACAUGAGUUAUUCAGACAAAUUCAGAGGGCAUAUUAGACCAAAAGAAAAUGUAUAUACUGCUAGGUCAGAUAAUUCUCCAACAGGUUCAUACCAUUUCAGAUUUUAAGAAACCGUUUGAUUUUGAAAGACACGUCUUUUCAAUGUAUGUUUAGUUAAUUGUAAAUCGUUAAUGAGAUUAUAGAUUUAUGUGCUUGCAUAAUUUCCAAGCAUAUGUGCUUGCAUAAUUUCCAAGCAUAUGGGCUGAACAUAAUAAUUCUCAUUUCUAGAAAUUCAAUCUUACGCAAUCAUGAAUACGCGUGCCAAUUGUUGUGCAAUUUUCUUUUGCUCUUACGCAAGCAAAUCAAAAGUUUUGGCAUACCAAUAUGGAAUUAAGAAAACAAAUGAAAGUUACCGUAGUCGAACGCGCGAUGACAGAUUCAGUCCUUUCAUUCUUUAAUGAAAAUUUAUUUCUUUCAAACCUUUCGAGAUUUGUCUUGCCAAAGAAGCGUGACUCCAGUAGCGUCGCCAAAUCUGAAUUUAGAAUAUGGAGGAUCUUCAAAUUCAUACUUGCCUUCAUAUAAAAUUCGUCUCAUCAAAUGUUCCAACAACGAUCUGUAUAUCAUCAACUUGAACUCUCCAUAAUGAUCUCGUUCUCCAUUGCCAAAUAUCAUUUGAGAUUGUUGGGAAAUUAUUCACCUCGGGGGUUGGAUAAGAAACAAUGCAGAAAAUUAAUCAAGAGGAUGAAAAAACGAAUCAAGAUCAUGACGAAAAUGGAAGAACUCAAACACGACGUUACAUCGUUGUCCUCAAACGAUAUUUGCCUCCUCUUGGUAUUAAUGUUGGUGCUUAAAGGAUCUUGCGGCAAACGGUUUGAAGGAUUGAUCAAACCUUGAUGUAGAGAAACAUAAAAGCACAAGCAUUUCUCUACCCGAACUUGAAGAACAUAUAGGGAAUAUAUGAAUGUGGAGGAAGAAAUGAUUUUUUUGUUUUUGUGGAAUAAUGACAGAUUACCAUAUGUUUUGUAAUCUGAUUUUCAUGUGUUUUUUUUAUGUCCAACAAACACAUAUUUAUAGCCAUGAAUCAAAGCUUCACGAAAUGGUGCCAAAACAAGAUGAAAAGUGACAACUUUUAAUUCAAAACGGCUCCCAAGUUUUAAAUUGAAAAAUCAGCCAACGGCUAUUUUUUAACACUUUGCGUACGCAUAGUAUAAAUCGUGCGUACGCAUAGUAGAAGCAAAAUCAAUUCUAAUUUUGCCAAAGCACAUCUCUUGUACGCACAAAAAUAAGUCUAUGCAUACGCAUAGGCAAAAAUCAAAAUUUUCAUUUUUCAGUUUCUUUUGGUUCUACCAAUUUCACAAUUGAGUCCAACAAUUAGUCCAUUAUCAUUCCAUUGAUUUUGAACAAAUAUUCAACAGUAGAAGCUUCAGAAGACUUCUUUCCCUUUAAGCUAGCGAGGUAAGUCUUGCAAUUCCUCUUCCAAUGACCCUUCACUCCACAGUGAUAGCAUGGGUCAUCAGAUUUGGUAUUGUCCUUGCCUACUUUGACUGCUUUGUUAUUGCCCUUAACCAUUUUGGAUGUUUUCUUAAAACUUCCUUUGAUUUUCCUCUUAGUGCCUUUGGAGGAAUGAAUGGCUAAGACAUGCCCAGUGCUAGCCUUGACAUUGGGCUCCACAGUUUUAAACAUAUUAAGCAACUCAGGGAGUGUGCAUUCGAUCUUAUUCAUAUUGAAGUUCAUAAUGAAUUGUGAAUAACUAUCUGGCAAAGAUUGCAGAACCAAGUCAAUACUUAGUUCAUGAUCCAUGAUAAAACCCAAUGAACCAAGUUUCUUAAUGAAACUAAUCAUCUUCAAUACAUGAGCACUAACUGAAGAUCCCUCUGCCAUUUUGCACCGGUAUAGUUGUUUAGAGGUCUCAUACCUCUCCACACGAGAUUGUUCUUACAACUCCUUGAAAUGAAAAAUUAUAGUGUAAGCAUCCAUACCUUCAUGUUGUUUCUGCAACUCAGGUGACAUAGCUGCAAGCAUCACACAUGCUGCAGUGUUAUCGUCAUCACUGUGUUUGUUGUAAGCAGUCACCUCUUUCUGAAUGGAAUUUUCAGUAGGCACCUCUGGAAAGAGCUGCUCAAUGACAUAUCCAAUUUUCUCAUGCUUGAGAACGAUUCUCAAAUUGCGGUGCCAAUCGAGAAAAUUUGGUCCGAUCAGUUUGUUGGCAUCCAAUAUGCCUCUCAAAUUCAUAUGAUUACUCAUGAUUCAAAAAACUGUAAAUAACAAAAAAUAUAGAAUUAAUAUAUAUUAUAAUGCAUAUGCACAAAUUCAAUAUGGACUUUAAUUAAACGUGCUCCCACUGUUUAAAAUAAAU
RNAcentral lists this long non-coding RNA (7574 nucleotides) under Olea europaea (common olive). RNAcentral's name for it is "long non-coding RNA (OEUR_LNC014264)". Lineage: Eukaryota; Viridiplantae; Streptophyta; Magnoliopsida; Lamiales; Oleaceae. The record is from RNAcentral.